Motacilla alba alba is the source of this 443-nucleotide long non-coding RNA. RefSeq lists it as uncharacterized. The record is from RefSeq and is a predicted model, not a curated record. Lineage: Eukaryota; Metazoa; Chordata; Aves; Passeriformes; Motacillidae. The transcript is spliced from 4 exons.
GGGACUUCUUGUAUCCUUUUGAAUUUAAGCCACUACUGACCUUGAGUUAAAAUAGGUUGGAUGUAAUCCUCAGCCUCUAUUUCCAAUAACAUUUAGAAACAGUUAUGGCACUAUAACUAAAUAACUGAAAUAGUUCUCUCUUAUUUGGUACUUUUUGCUGUCAACAUAUGAAUUGGAAUUUGAAUUAGGUCUUCCACUUCUUAGAAACAAUCAGGAAGAAUUGAAGACAGCCACUUGUGAGGAAGGUGGAAGCUGAGCAAUAUCCUACCUAAGAUGUAUCUUGAAGCAUGGAAAAUCUGGAUGAGCAGCAACCAAUACAUUUAUAAACACAUUCUUCCCCUUGGAAGCUCACUAAGUUGGAGGGCUCACAUCCUGGAAAAUUAGAUUCUACUAUGACGGAUGGUGGAAGUAAAAAUGAGGGAUCUAUCCCUGUAACACAAACC